CCUACGGGAGGCAGCAGUGGGGAAUAUUGGGCAAUGGGCGCAAGCCUGACCCAGCAACGCCGCGUGAAGGAAGAAGGCUUUCGGGUUGUAAACUUCUUUUCUCAGGGACGAAGCAAGUGACGUUACCUGCGGAAUAAGCCACGGCUAACUACGUGCCAGCAGCCGCGGUAAUACGUAGGUGGCAAGCGUUAUCCGGAUUUACUGGGUGUAAAGGGCGUGUAGGCGGGAAAGCAAGUCAGAUGUGAAAACCAUGGGCUCAACCUGUGGCCCGCAUUUGAAACUGUUUUUCUUGAGUACUGGAGAGGCAGACGGAAUUCCUAGUGUAGCGGUGAAAUGCGUAGAUAUUAGGAGGAACACCAGUGGCGAAGGCGGUCUGCUGGACAGCAACUGACGCUGAGGCGCGAAAGCGUGGGGAGCAAACAGGAUUAGAUACCCCUGUAGUC
Molecule: ribosomal RNA, 443 nt
Filed under: uncultured bacterium
Lineage: Bacteria
Description: partial 16S ribosomal RNA
Rfam family: Bacterial small subunit ribosomal RNA
Source: RNAcentral